UUCUCUUGUGUUUGGAAGUCCAAAGUCCCUCCUAAGAUUAAAAUUUUUCUUUGGCAAGCCUUUCGUGGUCGCCUUCCGGCUGCUGAUCAGAUUAAAAAGCGCAAUGGGCCUGGCUCGAAGUUUUGUCACCUUUGUGGGGCCUUGGAGAACUCGGAUCACAUCUUUUUCAAUUGCAUGCUGGCCAAGUUGGUUUGGUGCUGUGUCAGAUCUUGGUUACAGGUUUCUUGGAACCCCUCCUCAUUCUCCGAUAUUCGAAACCUAGUCAAAGUUUUGGUUGGGGUUACCAAGAGGGUGUUUUGGGUCGGACUGGGAGCCUUAUGCUGGGCUCUUUGGACUAUUAGGAACAAAUUUACUACUAAAUAUAUCUUCCCAUCUAAGCCUGCUGACGUUCUUUUUAAAUCAUGUAUAUUAUUGUAG
This 417-nucleotide ribosomal RNA is filed under the name Triticum aestivum (bread wheat). Its description in RNAcentral is "partial small subunit ribosomal RNA". Lineage: Eukaryota; Viridiplantae; Streptophyta; Magnoliopsida; Poales; Poaceae. The record is from RNAcentral.